ACAGCAGGUGGAGGUUGCGGCCCAACCGGAACAGCAGGUGGCGGUUGCGGCCCAACCGGAACAGCAGGUGCAGGUUGCGGCCCAACCGGAGAAGCAGGUGGCGGUUGCGGCCCAACCGGAACAGCAGGUGGAGGUUGCAGCCCAACCGGAGAAGCAGGUGGCGGUUGCGGCCCAACCGGAACAGCAGGUGGAGGUUGCGGCCCAACCGGAACAGCAGGUGGAGGUUGCGGUCCAACCGGAACGGAGGUCGGCCAGACCCCCGACAGGAGACCUGGA
Long non-coding RNA from Sebastes umbrosus (honeycomb rockfish), 276 nucleotides. RefSeq lists it as uncharacterized. The transcript has 3 exons. The record is from RefSeq and is a predicted model, not a curated record. NCBI's taxonomy places the organism in Eukaryota, Metazoa, Chordata, Actinopteri, Perciformes, Sebastidae.